AGGAUACUGCUUUCACGUUGGAAAAACGGAAAGCUGGAAACGGUCCGCCGCCGGAGGACGUGACUGCGGCCGAUUAGGUAGACGGUGGGGUAACGGCCCACCGUGCCAAUAAUCGGUACGGGUUGUGAGAGCAAGAGCCCGGAGACGGAAUCUGAGACAAGAUUCCGGGCCCUACGGGGCGCAGCAGCCGCGAAACCUUUACACUGCACGACAGUGCGAUAAGGGGAUCCCGAGUGCGAGGGCAUACAGUCCUCGCUUUUCGUGACCGUAAGGUGGUCACAGAAUAAGGGCUGGGCAAGACCGGUGCCAGCCGCCGCGGUAAUACCGGCAGCCCGAGUGAUAGCCAAUUUUAUUGGGCCUAAAGCGUCCGUAGCCGGCCGAACGGGUCCGUCGGGAAAUCCACCCGCUUAACGGGUGGGCGUCCGGCGGAAACCAGUCGGCUUGGGGCCGGGAGACCAGAGGGGUACGUCCGGGGUAGGAGUGAAAUCCUGUAAUCCUGGACGGACCACCGGUUGCGAAAGCGCCUCUGGAGAACGGACCCGACGGUGAGGGACGAAAGCUAGGGUCUCGAACCGGAUUAGAUACCCGGGUAGUCCUAGCCGUAAACGAUGCUCGCUAGGUGUGACGCA
This 629-nucleotide ribosomal RNA is filed under the name Halococcus sp. HSA18. RNAcentral describes it as "bacterial SSU rRNA". It matches the Rfam family "Archaeal small subunit ribosomal RNA", at positions 153 to 780 of the family's 1478-position model. Lineage: Archaea; Methanobacteriati; Methanobacteriota; Halobacteria; Halobacteriales; Halococcaceae. The record is from RNAcentral.